GACGAACGCUGGCGGCGUGCUUAACACAUGCAAGUCGAACGGAGUGGCGAACGGGUGAGUAACACGUGGGUGAUCUGCCUUGCACUUCGGGAUAAGCUUGGGAAACUGGGUCUAAUACCGGAUAGUGCAAGAUGAGCUCGCGGCCUAUCAGCUUGUUGGUGGGGUAAUGGCCUACCAAGGCGUCGACGGGUAGCCGGCCUGAGAGGGUGAACGGCCACAUUGGGAUUGAGAUCCGGCCCGGACGCUUACGGGAGGAAGUGGGGGGGAAUAUGGAACAAUGGGCGGAAGCCGGAUGCAGCGGCGCGGGGUGGGGAUGAAGGCCUUCGGGUUGUAAACUCCUUUCGACAGGGACGCGGUACCUGUAUAAGAAGCACCGGCUAACUACGUGCCAGCAGCCGCGGUAAUAC
Molecule: ribosomal RNA, 407 nt
Filed under: uncultured bacterium
Lineage: Bacteria
Description: partial 16S ribosomal RNA
Rfam family: Bacterial small subunit ribosomal RNA
Source: RNAcentral